Molecule: ribosomal RNA, 269 nt
Filed under: uncultured bacterium
Lineage: Bacteria
Description: partial 16S ribosomal RNA
Rfam family: Bacterial small subunit ribosomal RNA
Source: RNAcentral
UACGUAGGGCGCAAGCGUUUAUCCGGAAUUAUUGGGCGUAAAGAGCUCGUAGGCGGUUUGUCGCGUCUGCUGUGAAAAAACCCGAGGCUCAACCUCGGGCCUGCAGUGGGGUACGGGGCAGACUAGAGUGCGGUAGGGGAGAUUUUGGAAUUCCUGGCGUAGCGGUGGAAAAUGCGCAGAUAUCAGGAGGAAACACCGAUGGCGAAAGGCAGAUCUCUGGGCCCGUAAACUGACGCUGAGGGAGACGAAAGCGUGGGAGCGAAACAGGG